This 450-nucleotide ribosomal RNA is filed under the name uncultured bacterium. Its description in RNAcentral is "bacterial SSU rRNA". It matches the Rfam family "Bacterial small subunit ribosomal RNA", at positions 29 to 523 of the family's 1533-position model. The record is from RNAcentral.
AACGAGCGCUGGCGGCAGGCUUAACACAUGCAAGUCGAACGAAGUCUUCGGACUUAGUGGCAGACGGGUGAGUAACGCGUGGGAACCUACCUCUUGGUACGGAACAACAGUUGGAAACGACUGCUAAUACCGUAUGCGCCCUACGGGGGGAAAGAUUUAUCGCCGAGAGAUGGGCCCGCGUUGGAUUAGCUAGUUGGUGGGGUAAUGGCCUACCAAGGCGACGAUCCAUAGCUGGUCUGAGAGGAUGAUCAGCCACACUGGGACUGAGACACGGCCCAGACUCCUACGGGAGGCAGCAGUGGGGAAUAUUGGACAAUGGGGGCAACCCCGAUCCAGCCAUGCCGCGUGAGUGAUGAAGGCCCUAGGGUUGUAAAGCUCUUUCAGCGAGGAGGAUAAUGACGUUACUCGCAGAAGAAGCCCCGGCUAACUUCGUGCCAGCAGCCGCGGUAA